GCCGAGGUGGUGAAACAGGUAGACACAAGGGACUUAAAAUCCCUCGGCCCGCAAGGGCCGUGCCGGUUCGAUUCCGGUCCUCGGCA
RNAcentral lists this transfer RNA (86 nucleotides) under Spirochaetales bacterium. RNAcentral describes it as "tRNA-Leu". It matches the Rfam family "tRNA". Rfam says of the family: Transfer RNA (tRNA) molecules are approximately 80 nucleotides in length. Their secondary structure includes four short double-helical elements and three loops (D, anti-codon, and T loops). The record is from RNAcentral. Lineage: Bacteria; Pseudomonadati; Spirochaetota; Spirochaetia; Spirochaetales.